AUAUAGGUCAAGCUACAAAGGGCGCAUGGUGAAUGCCUUGGCAUCAGGAGCCGAUGAAGGACGUGAUAAGCUGCGAUAAGCUUCGGGUAGGCGCACAUAGCCUGAGAUCCGAAGAUCUCCGAAUGAGGAAACUCACAUGGGAAACCCCAUGUAUCAUUAAGUGAAUACAUAGCUUAAUGAAGGUAACCCAGGGAACUGAAACAUCUAAGUACCUGGAGGAAGAGAAAGAAAAAUCGAUUUUCUUAGUAGCGGCGAGCGAAAGGGAAAGAGCCCAAACCGGAAACUUGUUUCCGGGGUUGUGGACAUAACAUAAAAGUGGAGGCUAUUGUAACUGAAGAGAACUGGAAAGUUCCACCGUAGAAGGUAAUAGUCCUGUAAGUGAAACGAGAAGACCACGAGUUAUGAUCCAGAGUACCACGAGACACGUGAAACCUUGUGGGAAGCAGGGAGGACCACCUCCCAAGGCUAAAUACUACCUGAUGACCGAUAGUGAAGCAGUACCGUGAGGGAAAGGUGAAAAGAACCCCGGGAGGGGAGUGAAAUAGAACCUGAAACCGUGUGCCUACAACCGCUCAGAGCCCCUUAUGAGGGUGAUGAGGUGCUUUUUGUAGAACGAGCCAACGAGUUACGGUAUGUAGCAAGGUUAAGUACUUAAGGUACGGAGCCGAAGGGAAACCGAGUCUGAAUAGGGCGACUAGUUGCAUGCCGUAGACCCGAAACCGGGUGACCUAUCCAUGGCCAGGUUGAAGCGAGGGUAAAACCUCGUGGAGGACCGAACCACGUUGCUGUUGAAAAAGCAUGGGAUGAGCUGUGGAUAGCGGAGAAAUUCCAAUCGAACCCGGAGAUAGCUGGUUCUCUCCGAAAUAGCUUUAGGGCUAGCGUCGAGUAUGAGUAGUGGAGGUAGAGCACUGAAUGGGCUAGGGGGCAUAGCGCUUACCGAACCUUAUCAAACUCCGAAUGCCACAUACUUUGAGCUCGGCAGUCAGACUACGAAUGAUAAGAUCCGUGGUCAAAAGGGAAACAGCCCAGAUCGUCAGCUAAGGUCCCAAAGUGUAAGUUAAGUGGGAAAGGAUGUGAGAUUUCUAAGACAACUAGGAUGUUGGCUUAGAAGCAGCCAUUCAUUAAAAGAGUGCGUAAUAGCUCACUAGUCGAGAGAUCUUGCGCCGAAAAUGUAACGGGGCUAAACUUACCACCGAAGCUACGGGCUUGAACUUAGUUCAAGCGGUAGGAGAGCGUCGUAACCGGGCUGAAGUCGUACCGUAAGGAGCGGUGGACUGGUUACGAGUGAGAAUGUUGGCAUCAGUAGCGAGAUGUGGGUGAGAAUCCCACAGGCCGAAAACCUAAGGUUUCCUCAGGAAGGUUCGUCCGCUGAGGGUUAGUCGGGACCUAAGCCGAGGCCGAAAGGCGUAGGUGAUGGACAACUGGUUGAUAUUCCAGUACCACUACCAUCGUUAUUAUCGAUGGCGUGACGCAGGAGGAUAGUGUGUGCUAGCUAUUGGAUGCUAGUCUAAGCGUUUAGGCAGUGAGAGUAGGCAAAUCCGCUCUCAUAAUGCUGAGGCGUGAUGGGGAAGGUUCUACGGAACCGAAGUACAUGAUUCCACGCUGCCAAGAAAAGCGUCUAGAGAGAGAAGUAGUGCCCGUACCGCAAACCGACACAGGUAGGUGAGGAGAGAAUCCUAAGGCCGGCGGAAGAAUUACAGUUAAGGAACUCGGCAAAUUGACCCCGUAAGUUCGCGAGAAGGGGUGCCUACGAGAGUAGGCCGCAGAGAAUAGGCCCAAGCAACUGUUUAGCAAAAACACAGGUCUCUGCUAAAGCGUAAGCUGAUGUAUAGGGGCUGACGCCUGCCCGGUGCUGGAAGGUUAAGGGGAACACUUAGCGCAAGCGAAGGUGUGAACUUAAGCCCCAGUAAACGGCGGCCGUAACUAUAACGGUCCUAAGGUAGCGAAAUUCCUUGUCAGGUAAGUUCUGACCCGCACGAAUGGCGUAAUGACUUGGGCACUGUCUCAACUGUAAAUCCGGCGAAGUUGUAGUGCGAGUGAAGAUGCUCGCUACCCGCGAUUGGACGGAAAGACCCCGUAGAGCUUUACUGUAGCUUAGCAUUGAGUUUUGGUAUUGUCUGUACAGGAUAGGUGGGAGACUAGGAAACCAGGGCGUCAGCCUUGGUGGAGUCAACCUUGGGAUACCACCCUGACAGUACUGAAAUUCUAACUGGCGGCCAUGAAUCUGGUCACAGGACAUUGUUAGGUGGGCAGUUUGACUGGGGCGGUCGCCUCCUAAAAAGUAACGGAGGCGCCCAAAGGUUCCCUCAGAACGGUCGGAAAUCGUUCGAAGAGUGCAAAGGCAGAAGGGAGCCUGACUGCGACACCCACAAGUGGAGCAGGGACGAAAGUCGGGCUUAGUGAUCCGGUGGUACCUCGUGGGAGGGCCAUCGCUCAACGGAUAAAAGCUACCUCGGGGAUAACAGGCUGAUCUCCCCCAAGAGUCCACAUCGACGGGGAGGUUUGGCACCUCGAUGUCGGCUCGUCGCAUCCUGGGGCUGAAGUAGGUCCCAAGGGUUGGGCUGUUCGCCCAUUAAAGCGGCACGCGAGCUGGGUUCAGAACGUCGUGAGACAGUUCGGUCCCUAUCCGUCGCGGGCGUAGGAAAUUUGAGAGGAGCUGUCCUUAGUACGAGAGGACCGGGAUGGACUGACCUCUGGUGUACCAGUUGUUCCGCCAGGAGCACAGCUGGGUAGCUAAGUCGGGAAUGGAUAAACGCUGAAAGCAUCUAAGCGUGAAGCCAACCUCAAGAUGAGAUUUCCCAUAGCGUAAGCUAGUAAGAUCCCUUGAAGAACACAAGGUUGAUAGGUCGGGGGUGUAAGCAUGGUAACAUGUU
RNAcentral lists this ribosomal RNA (2873 nucleotides) under Clostridium perfringens. RNAcentral describes it as "partial 23S ribosomal RNA". It matches the Rfam family "Bacterial large subunit ribosomal RNA". The record is from RNAcentral. Lineage: Bacteria; Bacillati; Bacillota; Clostridia; Eubacteriales; Clostridiaceae.